This 479-nucleotide long non-coding RNA is filed under the name Mytilus galloprovincialis (Mediterranean mussel). Lineage: Eukaryota; Metazoa; Mollusca; Bivalvia; Mytilida; Mytilidae. The record is from RNAcentral.
AAAACACUAGAGGCUCUAAAGAGCCUGUGUCGCUCACCUUGGUCAACAAAGGACACAGAUGGAUUCAUGACAAAAUUGUGUUUUGGUAAUGGUGAUGUGUUUUUAGAUUUUACUUUACUUAACAUUCUUGCUGCUUACAAUUAUCUCUAUCUAUAAUGAACUUGGCUCAGUAGUUUCAGUGGAAAAUGUUUGUGAAAAUCUACAAAUUUAAUGAAAAUUGUUAAAAAUUGACUAUGAAGGGCAAUAACUCCUUAGGGGGUCAAUUGACCAUUUUGGUCGUGUUGACUUAUUUUUAGGUCUUACUUUGCUGAACAUUAUUGCUGUUUACAGUUUAUCUCAAUCUAUUAUAGUAUUCAAGGUAAUAACCAAAAACAGCAAAAUUUCCUUAAAAUUACCAAUUCAGGGGCAGCAACCUAACAACAGGUUGUCCAAUUCAUCUGAAAAUUUCAGGGCUGAUAAAUUUUGACCUGAUAAACAAU